UCAGAUUAGGAAUGAUAAAAUGUGUACAGCUUAUAAGUCCCCAUGUAUUUCUUUUUUAAAUUAGAAAGAAGAGAAAAUAAACAAUUAGUUUAACAAUUCUUGUUUUAAGCGCUUGAUUUUGAACAAAAGACGCAUGGAUUUGAGCAAAGGUGGUUGGAAGACAAAACGAUCAGAAAUACCACAUUAUCUGUUGAAACUAACUGUUGUACCUGUCGAAAGCCGGAUGAGGAAGAGGCUGAUAAAGCGAUUGUUGAACACCCAGAUCCGCACCAAUUUGAGAUUCUUCUACGCAACAUCGUCUAUAUGAAAUUACCACAAUCCAAAGUGUUGAAAAAUGUCUUAAAAGAAUUGAAAGAACUAAAAGAGACAGGUUUAAUGAAAAAGAGAAAGCACCUGUUGCCAUUUUCAGUGACGGACUUGAUGAAUGUUGAGGUACCAACCCAAUCCAACCAGACGGAUGUAAAGAAGCAGGAGUUAUAUCCCAUGACUGAUAAUCGAAGUAAUUCAGUGUCAAUAGCACCGUUUCCCGAACUAAAUUAUUUCCAACCAAAAGUGCCCACAACGAAGAAAAAGAACACAUUGCCAUUUACACUCGCUGAUCUGAUGGCAAUCCCUGUUCCUUCAUCUUCAAAGAAUAAUAAAGAUAGGUAUAAACGUAGAGUCCCAAAGAUUGAAGAAAUUGGUAAUGGUAAAAGUGUGGGAAGAGUCGAGGAGGAUAAAGAUUUCACCGACUACCACGCUAUAGUGUAUGAUACAUACAUCAUCCUUCCAAAUCUGGGAAAUUUUGAGUCUUACAGUAUCAAGGUGUAUGCUUGUCAGGAACCCUUAGAAACAGGACAAUAUUUAUGUGGUGACGAAUCUGAAUCCGCUAUUGGCAGUGGCAGAACACUGCCAUCACCCACUGCAGACCUAAUUAAUUCGUCCUCCAUUGAAGUGAAUAUAAAUGAAACCGGUGAUGUCUUGAUUCUUUGGGAAGCCCCC
Patella vulgata (common limpet) is the source of this 981-nucleotide long non-coding RNA. RefSeq lists it as uncharacterized. The transcript is spliced from 4 exons. The record is from RefSeq and is a predicted model, not a curated record. Lineage: Eukaryota; Metazoa; Mollusca; Gastropoda; Patellidae.